Molecule: ribosomal RNA, 253 nt
Filed under: uncultured bacterium
Lineage: Bacteria
Description: partial 16S ribosomal RNA
Rfam family: Bacterial small subunit ribosomal RNA
Source: RNAcentral
UACGUAGGGUGCGAGCGUUAAUCGGAAUUACUGGGCGUAAAGCGUGCGCAGGCGGUUCGUUAAGUCAGAUGUGAAAUCCCCGGGCUUAACCUGGGAACUGCAUUUGUGACUGCAUCGCUGGAGUGCGGCAGAGGGGGAUGGAAUUCCGCGUGUAGCAGUGAAAUGCGUAGAUAUGCGGAGGAACACCGAUGGCGAAGGCAAUCCCCUGGGCCUGCACUGACGCUCAUGCACGAAAGCGUGGGGAGCAAACAGG